UACGUAGGGGGCUAGCGUUGUCCGGAAUCAUUGGGCGUAAAGCGCGUGUAGGCGGUCCGGUAAGUCCGCUGUGAAAGUCGGGGGCUCAACCCUCGGAUGCCGGUGGAUACUGUCGGGCUUGAGUACGGAAGAGGCGAGUGGAAUUCCUGGUGUAGCGGUGAAAUGCGCAGAUAUCAGGAGGAACACCGAUUGCGAAGGCAGCGCGCUGGGACGUUACUGACGCUGAGACGCGAAAGCGUGGGGAGCAAACAGG
RNAcentral lists this ribosomal RNA (253 nucleotides) under uncultured bacterium. RNAcentral's name for it is "partial 16S ribosomal RNA". It matches the Rfam family "Bacterial small subunit ribosomal RNA", at positions 524 to 776 of the family's 1533-position model. The record is from RNAcentral.